GCUAUUUAAUGAAAAAAAAAUGGUCUUCCAAUGAACUGUAGAAAAGAUUCUUUAACACCCUUUUCACUUAAUUAUACGCCUAAUUUACUUAAAACUCAGCAAAGAAAAGCAAAGCAAUGGGGUUUUUUUGUUUGUGAACCAGAUUUUAGCUUCAAUGGUGGAUGGAUUUUUAUGAUUUUUGUUUCCAUUGACUUGGAAAAACUGGGAAAAAAAGGUGUUUUGAUUUUAGUCGUGAAUGGCCGCUGAGGUAAACAACAAAAUUUGUGAUUAUGAUUU
Molecule: long non-coding RNA, 276 nt
Filed under: Gossypium barbadense (sea-island cotton)
Lineage: Eukaryota; Viridiplantae; Streptophyta; Magnoliopsida; Malvales; Malvaceae
Description: long non-coding RNA (GBAR_LNC023615)
Source: RNAcentral